CUCAAACUUCAAUUAAAAUUAAAAUUUUUAAAUUUCAAUAUGAUCCCUCUCUGUCCUUAAAAUGUAUUUAAUUUCUAAACUCAAGCUUUUAUUUUUAUAUAAUCUAUCUGUGAAAGCUACCUAAGCAAUUGAAAUAUGUUGUGAAGGUAAAAUGUGCCACAGAAAUAAGAAACAUUUACUAUUUCUACACAUUACUCAUCCUUUAGAGUUUACCUUUCAUGGACUUAGUCUAACGGCUGCUCCCAUUAUCAUUAGUGUUUCUCAUACCAGGUUAUACCUUUUCAUGCCCUAAUUUAGAUCCCUCAUUUAAAAUUUCUUAUUCAUCGUAGGCUAAGAUGUAACAGAAACUAUGGCAAUUUAUUUAAUGCAGUGUGCUUACAAGCCUUAAUACAACCUCAAAAUUUGUUUUCGUUCCAAAAAAUCAAUUUGUUUCCCAAAAUAAUUUGAAAUUCAAAAACGCCAAGGCUGUGGAGCACCUAAUGCAAGCUGGAGUUAAAACCGUAUUUUGUAAUCAAAUCAUUGUUUUUUAAACUUUUGGUGCCUCUGCUGCUUUCUAGGCAGUCUCCAUAGUAACAGAGAAACAAAACCGGAAGCCAGCAGUUGAAAUGGACGCCUGCUGCUGAUAGUGGUUCCGCUUCCAUGGAAACAACAAUGGAGUGAUGGAAUACUGGAAGGCUUUUUAAAUGUAACCUUAAAUAUACAUACUAUGCCUCCUUCCUUACCAGCCCCUUAAAACUAGGUCACAAGCACUGCUGCUCAACAGCGGCAGCCAAGGAUGAAAAUCACCUCUUGCGGAUUUUUACUGCUGGACACUUACUGAGAGAAACAGUGCAUGCAUGAGCGUAGAGGAGGAGCAGAGAGCGAGGGAGAAAGAGAAUCUUAAGCAGGCUCCACACUCAGCACAGAGCCCAAUGAUGCAGGACUCCAUCUCACGACUAGGAGAUCAUGACCUGAGCUGAGAUCAAGAGGGAGACAGACGCUUAACUGAUUGAGCCACCCAGCAAAUGCUUUUAAAAAUGGAUACAUAUUUUACAUUCUACUUAAGGAUAAACCAGUACCUUCAGUGAAAUCAUACAAAAGGAAUAUGGAGGAACAUGGCGUAGAAGUGGCAUGAUUGAACUAAAAGGACAAUCUACUUUAAUUUUAUGAAAAAUUGUCAUGACAGCAUCACUGAAACACAAGCACAGAUACUCUACAUAAUUUUAAACCACUAUGUAAAACAGAAUGAAGUCUAUGAACUUUUUAUUGUUUGACAAUUACAAUUUUGGAAAACCUGUUUCUUAACAGUUUAGAAAAGUACAAAUGCCUGCAUAACGACCUGGUUAUUUUUCAAAUGAAACACACUUUGAGACCACUAAUGACAAAACAGUAAGCUCAUAAGAAAAAGCAGAUUUACAUUUUCAAAACUUCCUAUAAGAGAAUAGAUAAACUGAACUUCUGUGUAAUUUACAUAAGACUCAAUAUUUAACUAUUACGAUUAACUAAGCUGUAAGUUCAAUAAAACUAUGUAACUCAAGUAAUCAUGAAAUAAUGAUCGACUGUUUCUCAAAGUGCCUAACUGCUAGUACUGAAAUAAAUGAAAUAAAUGAAUAAAUGCCAGUAGUUUUUCCACU
Molecule: long non-coding RNA, 1613 nt
Organism: Panthera uncia (snow leopard)
Lineage: Eukaryota; Metazoa; Chordata; Mammalia; Carnivora; Felidae
Exons: 3
Source: RefSeq, a predicted model, not a curated record